RNAcentral lists this ribosomal RNA (495 nucleotides) under uncultured bacterium. RNAcentral's name for it is "partial 16S ribosomal RNA". It matches the Rfam family "Bacterial small subunit ribosomal RNA", at positions 28 to 523 of the family's 1533-position model. The record is from RNAcentral.
GAUGAACGCUGGCGGCGUGCUUAACACAUGCAAGUCGAGCGAAGCAUUUUAAAGGAAGUUUUCGGAUGGAAUUUAAAAUGACUGAGCGGCGGACGGGUGAGUAACGCGUGGGUAACCUGCCUCAUACAGGGGGAUAACAGUUAGAAAUGACUGCUAAUACCGCAUAAGCGCACAGUGCUGCAUAGCACAGUGUGAAAAACUCCGGUGGUAUGAGAUGGACCCCCGUCUGAUUAGGUAGUUGGUGAGGUAACGGCCCACCAAGCCGACGAUCAGUAGCCGACCUGAGAGGGUGACCGGCCACAUUGGGACUGAGACACGGCCCAAACUCCUACGUGAGGCAGCAGUGGGGAAUAUUGGACAAUGGGGGAAACCCUGAUCCAGCGACGCCGCGUGAGUGAAGAAGUGUUUCGGCAUGUAAAGCUCUAUCAGCAGGGAAGAAAAUGACGGUACCUGACUAAGAAGCCCCGGCUAACUACGUGCCAGCAGCCGCAGUAA